This 90-nucleotide transfer RNA is filed under the name Deltaproteobacteria bacterium. RNAcentral describes it as "tRNA-Ser". It matches the Rfam family "tRNA". From Rfam's summary of the family: Transfer RNA (tRNA) molecules are approximately 80 nucleotides in length. Their secondary structure includes four short double-helical elements and three loops (D, anti-codon, and T loops). The record is from RNAcentral. Lineage: Bacteria; Pseudomonadati; Myxococcota; Myxococcia. RNAcentral also lists the same sequence under 2 other names.
GGAGAGCUGGCCGAGCGGCUGAAGGCACCUGAUUCGAAAUCAGGAGUACCCGCAAGGGUAUCGGGGGUUCGAAUCCCUCGCUCUCCGCCA